GACGGAGGGUGCAAGCGUUAAUCGGAAUUACUGGGCGUAAAGCGUGCGCAGGCGGUUUGUUAAGUCUGCUGUGAAAUCCCCGAGCUCAACUUGGGAAUUGCAGUGGAUACUGGCAGGCUGGAGUAUGGUAGAGGAAGGUGGAAUUCCCGGUGUAGCAGUGAAAUGCGUAGAGAUCGGGAGGAACACCAGUGGCGAAGGCGGCCUUCUGGACCAAUACUGACGCUCAUGCACGAAAGCGUGGGGAGCAAACAGG
RNAcentral lists this ribosomal RNA (253 nucleotides) under uncultured bacterium. RNAcentral's name for it is "partial 16S ribosomal RNA". It matches the Rfam family "Bacterial small subunit ribosomal RNA", at positions 524 to 776 of the family's 1533-position model. The record is from RNAcentral.